Molecule: non-coding RNA, 130 nt
Filed under: uncultured Psychrobacillus sp.
Lineage: Bacteria; Bacillati; Bacillota; Bacilli; Caryophanales; Bacillaceae
Description: FMN riboswitch (RFN element)
Rfam family: FMN riboswitch aptamer (RFN element)
About the family: The RFN element is a highly conserved domain that is found frequently in the 5'-untranslated regions of prokaryotic mRNAs that encode for flavin mononucleotide (FMN) biosynthesis and transport proteins.
Source: RNAcentral
UCCUUCGGGGUCGGGUGAAAUUCCCAAUCGACGGUGUUGAGAUUGUAUCUCUAAGCCCGUGAGCCACUUUUAGUGUGCAGGAUUUGGUGCAAGUCCAAAGCCGACAGUUAUAGUCUGGAUGGGAGAAGGA